This is a long non-coding RNA of Betta splendens (Siamese fighting fish), 1941 nucleotides long. RefSeq lists it as uncharacterized. The transcript is spliced from 4 exons. The record is from RefSeq and is a predicted model, not a curated record. Lineage: Eukaryota; Metazoa; Chordata; Actinopteri; Anabantiformes; Osphronemidae.
CAAAUUCACACACACUUCUCUCGGUUAAUUCAUUCACUUCCGGUCAAACGUCCCCUGAAACUGCGUCCACGAGCACAAACAAACGAGACGCUACCGGCGUUCCCCGGUUCGCGGCUCGGCUGCGCGUGCUUCCGUGUAGCGCCACAGCGGGAAUGUCUCCGCUCGCCACCGCCCAUCCUCAAGGAUGCUAUUGUAUUCUGCCUUACACAACUCGCUCCAUUCCGCUACGUUGACCUAUUUACCGUUUCCUGUGGCCAGCGUGGCCUCUUUAUCAGCCAACACGGCGGCAACGGCAGGAAUAAAGAGACAGGAAGUUUGGAAACAGACCCUGGAAGAGAGAAGGAAACAGAUGGGAUGACGUAUCCCAAGCUCAGCUUCCAGCAACUAUGGUUCAGAAAACACAGAACAGCACUGUAUAUGGCUGAAGCUGAAUAGCAGCUUCAUCCAUAUACAUGAGCCUGUAACUAUACAAUAAUGUAGCCAGAGCAGGAUUAGUGAAGUUUAGCGGUGAAGGGUGAAGAGUUUGAGGCACGAAAACAAAAGUCCUGUAUCCUUUUGCAUUUAGGAAAUUUAGAAUCCAUGGAUAGAGUUUGUGUAACAUCACCUCAGCAAGACAACAGUGAAGUGUAACUAGAGCAGUAAUGAACGCUAACUACCGAACAUUCUUCUAUUGUGAGGAUAUGACGAGUUGUGACUAAACAUCUGCCCUUAUGUCUGUGUGUUUUUAUUGUCUAAAAUCUAAAUGAUGGUUUAAAUAUGUGUUAAAUAUAGAUUAGAAAAUGACAACCUACAAUAUUUCACUUGUAUAAUAAAACUACUACUACUAAACUAACUACUGGUUACGACUAUGGAGCUAAAUUGGGCCUACUGUAUAUGUCUUGAAAGCGAAAUAAAACAAUUUGAAACUGAAAGCUUGAAAUGCAAAGAUUUUCAAUUCAAAUAUAUUUUGAGAUUUAGUUUUUAUGUUUUCGAUUUCAAGUCUUAAAUUUUCGCAUUUAAAACUUUUUUUUCAGUUACAGUUGUGUUUUUUUCAGGUUCAGCUCUUUUUCAGGUUCAAUUCUGCUCAAUUCUGCUUCACCGAAAUUUGCCUGUAACAACGUGUUGCAGUUACUCACUCACUACUACUCAGGGACAGAGAGCGACAGUGUUGCAAGGUGCUGCUGUGAUGAGUCCACGCCUCUCCAGCAUUUGUCUGGCUGACGCAUCCCAGCUGCCGAAAGGCAAGGAGGUUGCUUCUCAAACUGACACCACUGCAGGCUGUGGACACACGGCUACCUUGUAGAAGAGUUGUUGCUCACCUCAGGAGCAAAGAUUAUGUGAAAAAUGUGAUGGAGACCAUCUUCAAUAAAGUCCUGCUGGACCCAGGUCGUUAUAUGGAGGACCUUGUGAACAUCCCUGUCCCACCGGCCCUCUGAAUUUGAGCAACCUGACAGAAAGGAGGUCAUUAAUGUCAUGCCAAGAUUUAACAGACCAGCACUAUAAAAGCUAAGUUGAAAGAGUGUUCUCCAAACACCAUUAAAACUGAUCUAACUACCUAUAUAUUGUUUACAUUUGUGAAGGUUGUGAGAUACAUAGGAAAUAUUGGACAUUUCAUUAAUCUGCUAUUCCAUUCUCUAUACCUUCUAGAGUGGUGUCAAGGAAAACAGCUGCAUCUUCUAUCUGUAUAGCUGCUGCACUGCUUCCGAUCAAAAUUUCUUCCAAAUUGUGGGGAGCACAACAAAGAUCCUCACAUCUCCCCAGCCAACUGCCCAAGACUGUACCUUUUCUGCUCCAGAAACUAUGCUUUCAACAUAACUAUGAAUCCUACCCUGUGGUCUGUUUAUCCCACUUCCUUUUAUUAAUCUAUCAGGCAACUUCACCUGCACAUUAAACUGUAAAGGUAACUUAUCCAGCAUUAUAGUGCUGGUGCAUUGGUUGACAAUAAAGUUGGCUUUGACUAUU